AGUGAACGCUGGCGGUAGGCCUAACACAUGCAAGUCGAACGGCAGCACAGUAAGAGCUUGCUCUUACGGGUGGCGAGUGGCGGACGGGUGAGGAAUACAUCGGAAUCUACUUUUUCGUGGGGGAUAACGUAGGGAAACUUACGCUAAUACCGCAUACGACCUACGGGUGAAAGCAGGGGAUCUUCGGACCUUGCGCGAUUGAAUGAGCCGAUGUCGGACUAGCUAGUUGGCGGGGUAAAGGCCCACCAAGGCGACGAUCCGUAGCUGGUCUGAGAGGAUGAUCAGCCACACUGGAACUGAGACACGGUCCAGACUCCUACGGGAGGCAGCAGUGGGGAAUAUUGGACAAUGGGCGCAAGCCUGAUCCAGCCAUACCGCGUGGGUGAAGAAGGCCUUCGGGUUGUAAAGCCCUUUUGUUGGGAAAGAAAAGCAGCAGGUUAAUACCCCGCUGUUCUGACGGUACCCAAAGAAUAAGCACCGGCUAACUUCGUA
This 492-nucleotide ribosomal RNA is filed under the name uncultured bacterium. Its description in RNAcentral is "partial 16S ribosomal RNA". It matches the Rfam family "Bacterial small subunit ribosomal RNA", at positions 29 to 507 of the family's 1533-position model. The record is from RNAcentral.